UGGGGAAUAUUGGACAAUGGGGGAAACCCUGAUCCAGCAAUGCCGCGUGAGUGAAGAAGGCCUUAGGGUUGUAAAGCUCUUUCGCCCGCGAAGAUAAUGACGGUAGCGGGAGAAGAAGCCCCGGCUAACUCCGUGCCAGCAGCCGCGGUAAUACGGAGGGGGCUAGCGUUGUUCGGAAUUACUGGGCGUAAAGCGUACGUAGGCGGAUGCGCAAGUUGGGGGUGAAAUCCCGGGGCUUAACCUCGGAAUUGCCCUCAAAACUGCACGUCUUGAGACCGAGAGAGGUAAGGGGAAUUCCUAGUGUAGAGGUGAAAUGCGUAGAGAUCGGGAGGAACAUCUGUGGCGAAGGCGACUGCCUGGACCAGCACUGACACUGAGGCACGAAAGCGUGGGGAGCAAACA
Molecule: ribosomal RNA, 402 nt
Filed under: uncultured bacterium
Lineage: Bacteria
Description: bacterial SSU rRNA
Rfam family: Bacterial small subunit ribosomal RNA
Source: RNAcentral